This 253-nucleotide ribosomal RNA is filed under the name uncultured bacterium. RNAcentral describes it as "partial 16S ribosomal RNA". It matches the Rfam family "Bacterial small subunit ribosomal RNA", at positions 524 to 776 of the family's 1533-position model. The record is from RNAcentral.
UACGUAGGGUGCAGGCGUUAAUCGGAAUUACUGGGCGUAAAGCGUGCGCAGGCGGUCUUUUAAGUCAGAUGUGAAAUCCCCGGGCUUAACCUGGGAACUGCGUUUGAAACUGGAAGGCUUGAGUGUGGCAGAGGGGGGCGGAAUUCCACGUGUAGCAGUGAAAUGCGUAGAUAUGUGGAGGAACACCGAUGGCGAAGGCAGCCCCCUGGGCUAACACUGACGCUCAUGCACGAAAGCGUGGGGAGCAAACAGG